GGGGAAUAUUGGACAAUGGGCGCAAGCCUGAUCCAGCCAUACCGCGUGGGUGAAGAAGGUCUUCGGGUUGUAAAGCCCUUUUGUUGGGAAAGAAAUCCAGCUGGCUAAUACCCGGUUGGGAUGACGGUACCCAAAGAAUAAGCACCGGCUAACUUCGUGCCAGCAGCCGCGGUAAUACGAAGGGUGCAAGCGUUACUCGGAAUUACUGGGCGUAAAGCGCACGUAGGCUGCUUUGUAAGUCAGGGGUGAAAUCCCACGGCUCAACCGUGGAACUGCCUUUGAUACUGGUUAGCUUGAAUCCGGGAGAGGGUGGCGGAAUUCCAGGUGUAGGAGUGAAAUCCGUAGAUAUCUGGAGGAACAUCAGUGGCGAAGGCGGCCACCUGGACCGGUAUUGACGCUGAGGUGCGAAAGCGUGGGGAGCAAACA
This 426-nucleotide ribosomal RNA is filed under the name uncultured Pseudomonadota bacterium. RNAcentral describes it as "bacterial SSU rRNA". It matches the Rfam family "Bacterial small subunit ribosomal RNA", at positions 356 to 774 of the family's 1533-position model. The record is from RNAcentral. Lineage: Bacteria; Pseudomonadati; Pseudomonadota.